AUUGAACGCUGGCGGCAUGCCUUACACAUGCAAGUCGAACGGUAACAGGUUAAGCUGCCGAGUGGCGAACGGGUGAGUAAUGUAUCGGAACGUGCCCAGUCGUGGGGGAUAACUGCCCGAAAGAGCAGCUAAUACCGCAUACGACCUGAGGGUGAAAGCGGGGGAUCGCAAGACCUCGCGCGAUUGGAACGGCCGAUAUCAGAUUAGGUAGUUGGUGAGGUAAAGGCUCACCAAGCCGACGAUCUGUAGCUGGUCUGAGAGGACGACCAGCCACACUGGGACUGAGACACGGACCAGACUCCUACGGGAGGCAGCAGUGGGGAAUUUUGGACAAUGGGCGGAAGCCUGAUCCAGCCAUGCCGCGUGCGGGAAGAAGGCCUUCGGGUUGUAAACGGCUUUUGUCAGGGAAGAAAAGGUUCUGGCUAAUACCUGAGGAUCAUGACGGUACCUGAAGAAUAAGCACCGGCUAACUACGUG
RNAcentral lists this ribosomal RNA (477 nucleotides) under uncultured bacterium. RNAcentral's name for it is "partial 16S ribosomal RNA". It matches the Rfam family "Bacterial small subunit ribosomal RNA", at positions 30 to 507 of the family's 1533-position model. The record is from RNAcentral.